Molecule: ribosomal RNA, 253 nt
Filed under: uncultured bacterium
Lineage: Bacteria
Description: partial 16S ribosomal RNA
Rfam family: Bacterial small subunit ribosomal RNA
Source: RNAcentral
UACAGAGGGUGCGAGCGUUAAUCGGAAUCAUUGGGCGUAAAGCGCGUGUAGGCGGCCAGAUAAGUCCGCUGUGAAAUCUCGAGGCUCAACUUCGAGCUGUCGGUGGAAACUGUCUGGCUAGAGUCCGGAAGAGGAGAAUGGAAUUCCUGGUGUAGCGGUGAAAUGCGCAGAUAUCAGGAAGAACACCCGUGGCGAAGGCGGUUCUCUGGGACGGUACUGACGCUGAGACGCGAAAGCGUGGGGAGCGAACAGG